GUGAGGAAUAUUGGUCAAUGGCCGAGAGUCUGAACCAGCCAAGUCGCGUGAGGGAUGAAGGUUCUAUGGAUCGUAAACCUCUUUUAUAAGGGAAUAAAGUGCGGGACGUGUCCCGUUUUGUAUGUACCUUAUGAAUAAGGAUCGGCUAACUCCGUGCCAGCAGCCGCGGUAAUACGGAGGAUCCGAGCGUUAUCCGGAUUUAUUGGGUUUAAAGGGUGCGUAGGCGGCAUUUUAAGUGAGCGGUGAAAUUUUGUGGCUCAACCAUAGAAUUGCCGUUGAAACUGGGAGGCUUGAGUAUGUUUGAGGCAGGCGGAAUGCGUGGUGUAGCGGUGAAAUGCUUAGAUAUCACGCAGAACCCCGAUUGCGAAGGCAGCCCGCCAAGCCAUGACUGACGCUGAUGCACAAAAGCGUGGGGAUCAAACAGG
RNAcentral lists this ribosomal RNA (425 nucleotides) under uncultured bacterium. Its description in RNAcentral is "bacterial SSU rRNA". It matches the Rfam family "Bacterial small subunit ribosomal RNA", at positions 354 to 776 of the family's 1533-position model. The record is from RNAcentral.